AGCAACUUUUGGGGUUUUAUAUUAGGAACAGAAGCACUCUUAGUUUUCCAACUAGUUAUCUCGACCCUCAGGAUAAUUGAAAAUUGAUGCUAGCUGGCUGGCUUAGCUUAGCUACAGGGGGAGCCUUUUUGAUUUGUGGUUUCUAUGUUUGCAAUGAUAUGUUCUGCUCCAAAAUCCAGAUGUCUUUCUUGUCCUUUCCCACCUUGUUGUGAUUAUCACAGGACAUGGAGUCAUGGACAAUGCCAUGUUGGCUUGGGAAAAUGGUGGCAGUCGCAGCAGCAGCAGCCCCAUCCAUCCCAGCUGUAGUCUUUGUAGGAUUGUUGCUGACUCGAGCACUUCAUCUAUGCUUCCCUAUUAUCUGCAUAUGUCACACCAAGUGACUCAUUUCCAUGUGCAUUGCCGGCAUUUUCAUCUUCAUUUUUUUAAGGAAAAGGAAAAUAUAUAGCAUUAGCAACAAAAUCGAGAGUUGAAGUCAUCAUCUUUGAUUUACUGGUAUAAUUCUGUCAUUUGUAAGCGGAAUACCGUGAGUCUAAAUUCAUAUAUAGUUAAUUGUUGUGAAA
Rosa rugosa (rugosa rose) is the source of this 560-nucleotide long non-coding RNA. RefSeq lists it as uncharacterized. The record is from RefSeq and is a predicted model, not a curated record. The transcript is spliced from 2 exons. Lineage: Eukaryota; Viridiplantae; Streptophyta; Magnoliopsida; Rosales; Rosaceae.